Molecule: non-coding RNA, 4402 nt
Organism: Struthio camelus australis
Lineage: Eukaryota; Metazoa; Chordata; Aves; Struthioniformes; Struthionidae
Source: RefSeq, a predicted model, not a curated record
AAGCAGUUUUGAGCAAAUCAGCUAGUAAAUGGCAUUUUAACAGAAGCCAGAUGGAAUAAAUUAAAAGGAGUCUGGCAAACCCUGUGCGAAGGAGGGAAUAUAAGUAUCUGCAGGGAUGGCGAAGAAAGAUGACUCCCAGUAGAGAGCUAAUAAGAGCAACAAAUAUGAGUCUUUACCUCACUUAUAAAUGCAAAGAAAACAAACAAAUCCACAAUCCAAAUUUUCUCACCUGAAUGUAAAUAAACCUAUUAGACCUUGCUCUGUCCUGCCCAGGAUUUUUGAUGCAAAAAAUGCUUCCUGACACAGUGCUUACAAGAUUGGUUUUAUCUAUCUUCUGUAAAUACUGAUUAUUCUGUGGCUUUUCACCUUCUCUGUGAUGUGAGCCAUUUGUGAGAAGGACGCCAACUAUGGAAGUAAGUUAGCUGCCUUGUCUGUGAUAUUGAACAAAUACGUUAUAAGCAGAUUCAAGCCUGUGCUUCAUGGCAACCUGUCCGGGGCAAGUGCUCUGUUGAGCGUCUGAAUGUUAUAGGUUGUUGCUGAGUCUUCACAAAUGGCCAAAUGCGUCAUCUACACCGGUCUCUGAAUGCCUGACCUAAGGCAAGAAAGCCUGUUGUGCUGAUUUGUCUGUCCACUGGAAGUGAGUAUUCCUGCUACCCAAAGGCAGAAAAUCACUUACCUGGCACACACCUGGUCUCCCCAAGAUCCCUCUGCAAUCACUGGAGAGAGAGAGAGAGCAAGAUGGGCCCCUCCAGUGGGUAAUUCAAACCAGGACCUUAAUUUAGCUACAUCGCGUCGUCCUCUGCAGGAGAUUUUGUCUUUCUCCAUGGACCGAGGAGAGGCUGGAGAGCCUGGCUGAGCAACUUGGCUGCCUGCGGUUGGUGUUGUGAAUUCUCUGCUUGCUGAAGCCAAUGAAAACAUGAAGAAACAGAGCUAUCUGUGACCUCUCUAAGUAAUUUAUUCACCCUCAUUCUUCACACUUGGUGCCAACUUUCUCAUUUGAUCUGGCUGAAGUUUGCCUCCUUGAACUGUUGUUAUGGCUUUCCCUGCUAGACAGAGAAAGAUUUAGUAGUGACGGUUUCCUUCCUUCGCGCUGAAAUCAAGGCGUCUGAAUCUUCUUUGUGAUGACAGGAAUAAACGCAUCCCUCUUAAAAUCUGUCACUCAGAUGCAGUCUUGCCAUUCACUGUGUGGCUUUUUUGGCAGGUUUUUAAACACCCCUUUGGAAAACCCAACUUCCAGCCACAGCCAGUGCUGCGGGCCAGCCUCACCGGUGCAGAUUGCAAGAUGAUAGCGCCCCGCUUCUCCUGCAGAGCGCUCCUCGCCCAGGGCAGAAGGAUAUCACCCUCGGCGCUUUCCACUUACCUACAACCAAACGCCUAUUACAGAGCAAUAUUUCUGAAGCAGAGCUCUUUUCAGGAGGCCUCACGAGAACUCUCUGGCACAUCUCUCAGGCAGAGGACUAUGCUGCUGAAUUUAAAAAUUUGUCCUUGCUCGCUAAUGGACUUGAAAGACAGGUGAUGAAGGAAUGCAUCCUCUUCUUUUCCUUGGCCAAGUGAUCUUGAGAGCUCCCCGUGUUUCCCCCUGGGCUUCAUGUAUGAGAGCAGAGUCACACAAGCUGAAGACCCACAGUCUCAGUUAGCAGUUUUCUGCAGUUGUUUCCAUGCAAGUGAUGCUAGAUGUGAAUAUGAUAACCCAACUGUAAAAGCUGAAGCUGGGCCAGGACUUCUCGAGCUGUGACAGAAGGGCUAAAUGAGUGGAGGGAAUUUUAUGUGCCUCUUCCCACCGCAUUCCAGUAACCAUGCAGGAAGUCAUUGAUCAAUGGGAUUUAAGCAACAUGCACAAGAAAGGCUGACUGCUAGCAGCGAAUGUGGUAACACCAUUGCUGUGUUGCCCUCUAUUGCCUGGGACCUUCACAGCCUGCUGUACCACAUUAAGACCUGAUGCAAGCAGACAUACAUCCUUCCAAGCAUAUUUUGUGCAAUUUUUGAGGAAUCCUGCAAGGACUCAUCAGCCCAAGUAAUUCUCUCUGCCCCAAAACUAUGGGGAAGGGAAGUGAUUAUGAGAAAUCUCAUGUUCCUUCAGCAGCUGCAGACACUUUGGGUGGGAUUCAUCUGACUAAACAUAGAUGUCUCCAUCUGAGCUAGUCACGCUAGACUCUCUUUAUGGAGGAGAAAAUGGAGAAAUAUAGGCAUAGCUAUGAGUCAUCCCCUCCCCAAGUCAGUGUCUAAAACAGGUCAGGCGAAUCGUGCCCAUUUCUCUUUGCAUAAAAAAGGAGCGGCAAUGAGGAGGCCAAGUGCCGGCCUAUAACGUUACACACAUCCCAUCCUUUAUCUGGUACCCAAACCGGAUGAUUUGAUGUGGGACCAAAGGGCCAAGUCAUGGUGAGGGCAUUGCCAAAAAACCGCCGUGUAACCGCAGGAGAGCAGGGUGACUUGGCAUACUCAGCAUGAGCGUAUUUCAAUGCGUCCUUCACUGUGGGACAGAAGGCAAGAAGUGUAAUGUCGGAAAGGAAAUGGCCUAAGAAAAAUGCCUGUAAAAGUCACCGUGGGACAUCAAUCUGGUGCCAAGACUUAUGUUUUUUUUGAACCGCUGCAGGUACCUCUGUUCUUCUGUUUGCAGGCUGGAAUUACUGCCUUCCUGCCUCCGCUGCAACGCGCUGUGUGACCCUGUUACUUCACCUCUCCGGGCCUCCCUUUCCUUCCCACCUGUCCUUUUCAGACAUCAGUAAAGUGGGCCCAUCUUCCUAUUCCCACAGUGUCUCCGAGCACUGCCGAGCAUGCACACCACCAGGCAGGCAGGGCGCUGAUGAUGCUCGUCAUCUGCGGCAGAGCUGUGCGUCUAAAACACUCGCAAGUGCUGUGGACAUUUGGGCAUCUUCCAGGAGGACAUUAGCUCUUUGCAUCCUGUGCUACAACUCCUCAUUGCUCAGCUCUGCACAUGUCCUCUCGCUGGCCUAGCACUGAGCUGCAUGUUGAAAGAAAGGAGCAUUUCCCAUGCUAUGUGUGUGUCAGUGACGCAUGGAGAGAGGAAAUGCAGCAGUUGCCAGAAGCAGCGCUGAUGUUACUUUAUGUUGUUAUCUGAUGAGAAAACUAAUGAAGCAAAAAUGCUUUGAGCAUGCAAUAAGCCAGCCCCUCUGCUGAGGGAUUACAGCUAAGGACUCUCAAGACCUCAUGUGCACCCAUGACUGUAACCCGUGAGUAAGAGCAUGAAGCAUGCACACAAGGUAAAUAAAUGGUUAGAGAGAGCUGCUCCAAGUCAAAUUCCUCCCCCUCCUUUUUCUCCCCGCUUUCUCACCACUGAAGGACAUACAAAAGCUCAAAUGAUGUCACAGGGCCAUGCAUUUGGCAAGUUUCUUGCUGCUUUGUCCCAGCACACGACAAGCCAGUUUCAUGACAUUGUCCUUGCAUUUGCUUGCAGCGGCGCGUGCAGAAAUUACAGCAGAGCCUGGCGGUACAAAGCAGGCACGGAGGAGAGAUGAGGCUUUUCAGCUCUACUGCAAAAGGUCCCACUCAGUGGCACUAAAAGCAAGCACAAGGGCCAAAUGCUGAAUUUCCAACCCCACGGUGUAGGUAGUUGACUGGCAGAAAGGGGGUGGAUGGAUUAGGAGGGGGGGGGCCCUAUGUUUUUGGUUAGCUCAGGCUCUGUAUGUAGUUUCCUUCCUUGAAACAUCAGAAAAGUGGAAGUAAAUUAAUCUGCUUAAAAGCAAACAAAAACGCUGUGUGGGGGGAGGAGGGGUUGUAUGUGUAUGACACGUAUUUUUAGGAGCCAACUCCUCGGUAGAUGAUGUGGGAAUUUAGGAAUUGAAUUGUUUGAAAUAAGGGCUGGGGUUCCUCAGCCUCCUCAGCACACCGAUUAACCAUUUUUCUGUUGGGAUUUUUAAGAGAUCCCCUUUGUCUAAUUUCUGGAUAGAAAUGUGCCUUUAAAUCUUGUGCCUUUAAGCCUGCCAAAGGAUCUGGUAUCAAGGCAGCUCUGCUCUUUGUGCUUAGGUAUUUCUGGGAAAGCCAGAGGCAGAGGCAGAGGUAGGAGAAGGUAUGUUCAUUAAGUGCCACCACCUGGAGUUAAAGGAACAAGCGCGCUUCUGCUCUUUCACCCUGUCACGAGAAGCUCACUGAGAUGAAGGAAGCGGUUAAGGGUGGAUCGUGAGAAACCAACCUGAGAGCGGAGGGUCAGCCCCUAUGGCACCUGAGCUGUGCGUAUGCCUGGUGCCAGAGCGAACAGCCCCUACGCGUUUGCUCCGAGCCGCAUCCUGUUGUACCUUGCUUUCAGCAGUUUGGCUAAGAAGCUUGCCGCUUUCCUGAAUGAGAUGAGGGGGUGACAGCUGAAGCCAUGGGUCUGCUUCCUCUACUGAGAAAUAUAUCCACAAAUGUUUCACUACUUUAAUACACCUGAAAGGGAGAGCUAAAA